UACAGAGGCCUCGAGCGUUGUUCGGAAUUACUGGGCGUAAAGGGAAUGUAGGUGGUGAUGUAAGUCAGAUGUGAAAGCCCUGGGCUUAACCUGGGAAGUGCAUUUGAUACUGCGUUGCUUGAGUGCGAGAGAGGAAAGCGGAAUUCCAGGUGUAGGAGUGAAAUCCGUAGAUAUCUGGAGGAAUACCGAUGGUGAAGACAGCUUUCUGGCUCGCAACUGACACUGAGAUUCGAAAGCUUGGGUAGCAAACAGG
RNAcentral lists this ribosomal RNA (253 nucleotides) under uncultured prokaryote. RNAcentral's name for it is "partial 16S ribosomal RNA". It matches the Rfam family "Bacterial small subunit ribosomal RNA", at positions 524 to 776 of the family's 1533-position model. The record is from RNAcentral.